CGGGGUGUAGCUCAGUUUGGUCAGAGCACCUGGUUUGGGACCAGGGUGUCGCAAGUUCGAAUCCUGUCACCCCGA
This 75-nucleotide transfer RNA is filed under the name Eubacteriales bacterium. RNAcentral describes it as "tRNA-Pro". It matches the Rfam family "tRNA". From Rfam's summary of the family: Transfer RNA (tRNA) molecules are approximately 80 nucleotides in length. Their secondary structure includes four short double-helical elements and three loops (D, anti-codon, and T loops). Lineage: Bacteria; Bacillati; Bacillota; Clostridia; Eubacteriales. The record is from RNAcentral.